UACGUAGGGAGCAAGCGUUGUCCGGAAUUAUUGGGCGUAAAGAGCUCGUAGGCGGUUUGUCGCGUCUGCUGUGAAAACUCGGGGCUUAACUCCGGGCCUGCAGUGGGUACGGGCAGACUAGAGUGUGGUAGGGGAGACUGGAAUUCCUGGUGUAGCGGUGAAAUGCGCAGAUAUCAGGAGGAACACCGAUGGCGAAGGCAGGUCUCUGGGCCACUACUGACGCUGAGAAGCGAAAGCAUGGGGAGCGAACAGG
Molecule: ribosomal RNA, 253 nt
Filed under: uncultured bacterium
Lineage: Bacteria
Description: partial 16S ribosomal RNA
Rfam family: Bacterial small subunit ribosomal RNA
Source: RNAcentral